GCCCGACUGGCUCAAUCGGUAGAGCAUGCGACUUCUAUGGUGUUUCAGACUCCAUCGCAAGGUUGUGGGUUCGAGUCCCACGUUGGGUG
This is a non-coding RNA of Chaetomidium leptoderma, 89 nucleotides long. The record is from the annotation of a GenBank genome assembly. Lineage: Eukaryota; Fungi; Ascomycota; Sordariomycetes; Sordariales; Chaetomiaceae.